GACGGGGCGCCGGGGGUGGCUUUGCUGCCGUCCUUCACGGGGGCGCUGGGGCUGCGGUUCGAGGUCGUGCCCGGUCUC
Molecule: transfer RNA, 78 nt
Filed under: Streptomyces flavofungini
Lineage: Bacteria; Bacillati; Actinomycetota; Actinomycetes; Kitasatosporales; Streptomycetaceae
Description: tRNA-Val
Source: RNAcentral